RNAcentral lists this ribosomal RNA (611 nucleotides) under uncultured bacterium. RNAcentral describes it as "bacterial SSU rRNA". It matches the Rfam family "Bacterial small subunit ribosomal RNA", at positions 45 to 671 of the family's 1533-position model. The record is from RNAcentral.
UGCUUAACACAUGCAAGUCGAACGGAAAGGCCCUUCGGGGUACUCGAGUGGCGAACGGGUGAGUAACACGUGGGUGAUCUGCCCUGCACUUUGGGAUAAGCCUGGGAAACUGGGUCUAAUACCGAAUAUGACCGCGCACUUCCUGGUGUGUGGUGGAAAGCUUUUGCGGUGUGGGAUGGGCCCGCGGCCUAUCAGCUUGUUGGUGGGGUAAUGGCCUACCAAGGCGACGACGGGUAGCCGGCCUGAGAGGGUGACCGGCCACACUGGGACUGAUAUACGGCCCAGACUCCUACGGGAGGCAGCAGUGGGGAAUAUUGCACAAUGGGCGCAAGCCUGAUGCAGCGACGCCGCGUGAGGGAUGACGGCCUUCGGGUUGUAAACCUCUUUCAAUAGGGACGAAGCGCAAGUGACGGUACCUAUAGAAGAAGGACCGGCCAACUACCGUGCCAGCAGCCGCGGUAAUACGUAGGGUCCGAGCGUUGUCCGGAAUUACUGGGCGUAAAGAGCUCGUAGGUGGUUUGUCGCGUUGUUCGUGAAAACUCACAGCUUAACCUGUGGGCGUGCGGGCGAUACGGGCAGACUAGAGUACUGCAGGGGAGACUGGAAUUCCU